AUGUAUACCGGGUACAUGCGACGAUCUCCUCCACUGUUUGGCAUUACCAGGAGACACGCGCUAACCCCGUUUCACAAAUCUCCUCCACUCUCUCGCCGUAGAUCACACCUCCUGUCUCAAGAGGUGUCAAUUUCCCUUUUAAUGUCAAGUUGUAGCCGGUUGGCUACUGAUUCGUCGAAAUCGGAGUUGUCCCACUCCGCUCAAAGAUGCACGGAUGGCAUCUUACAAAUGGGCGAGUUUCGAGGUUGUUGCGGCCGGAUCGUUCCCUAUGAGGUGAUCAUGACCAAGGAGGUAAUUAUUCCCGGUGGGGCGAUCAUUGCCGAUGAAGACGAUUGCAACAACAGAAAUACGCCCCGCGACCUUUGA
Vicia faba (fava bean) is the source of this 366-nucleotide non-coding RNA. NCBI's taxonomy places the organism in Eukaryota, Viridiplantae, Streptophyta, Magnoliopsida, Fabales, Fabaceae. The record is from the annotation of a GenBank genome assembly.